UGGUUACUCCCUCCGUUCCAAAUUACUCGUCGCAGAAAUGGAUGUAUCUAGAACUAAAAUACAUCUAGAUACAUCCAUACCUCUGACAAGUAAUUCGGAACGGAGGGAGUAGAAG
This is a non-coding RNA of Triticum aestivum (bread wheat), 115 nucleotides long. Lineage: Eukaryota; Viridiplantae; Streptophyta; Magnoliopsida; Poales; Poaceae. The record is from Rfam.